AUUGAACGCUGGCGGCAUGCCUUACACAUGCAAGUCGAACGGUAACGGGCCUUCGGGUGCCGACGAGUGGCGAACGAGUGAGUAAUACAUCGGAACGUGCCCGAUCGUGGGGGAUAACGAGGCGAAAGCUUUGCUAAUACCGCAUACGAUCUACGGAUGAAAGCAGGGGACCGCAAGGCCUUGCGCGGACGGAGCGGCCGAUGGCAGAUUAGGUAGUUGGUGGGAUAAAAGCUUACCAAGCCGACGAUCUGUAGCUGGUCUGAGAGGAUGAUCAGCCACACUGGGACUGAGACACGGCCCAGACUCCUACGGGAGGCAGCAGUGGGGAAUUUUGGACAAUGGGCGCAAGCCUGAUCCAGCCAUGCCGCGUGCAGGAUGAAGGCCUUCGGGUUGUAAACUGCUUUUGUACGGAACGAAAAGCCUUCUUUUAAUACAGGAGGGUCAUGACGGUACCGUAAGAAUAAGCACCGGCUAACUACGUG
Molecule: ribosomal RNA, 482 nt
Filed under: uncultured bacterium
Lineage: Bacteria
Description: partial 16S ribosomal RNA
Rfam family: Bacterial small subunit ribosomal RNA
Source: RNAcentral